AUGUAUAUAAUGAACUAUAUAUUAGGAUUACGAGUUAAAUACACAUGAUCUUUUAACUGAUAUUGUUAAUCCUACUGAUAUAUAUGAGAAAGAAAUUUUAGAGUUAGACAAUUCUUUUAAUAAAGAAAAUAUUAAUCCAUGUAGCUCAAAGAGGAAGAAUUUAGAUACUCCUAAAUCUAAAGCUAAAAAAUCUAAGAAGUAUGAAGAUGAAAAAAUGGAGAUAUUUAGGGGUUUUGCUGCCAAACAUACAUCCCAAGGAGAUGAUCCCCAUAAUAUUAUGGGUUUUUUCAAAUCAUAUCAAGCUCAAUUUAAUAUUAUGACUGAUAAAGAAAUUUUUGAUUUUAAAUUAAAAUUUAUAACAACAAUGUUAGUUUAGU
Long non-coding RNA from Gordionus sp. m RMFG-2023, 377 nucleotides. RefSeq lists it as uncharacterized. The transcript has 3 exons. The record is from RefSeq and is a predicted model, not a curated record. NCBI's taxonomy places the organism in Eukaryota, Metazoa, Nematomorpha, Gordioida, Chordodea, Parachordodidae.